RNAcentral lists this unclassified non-coding RNA (609 nucleotides) under Hevea brasiliensis (rubber tree). Lineage: Eukaryota; Viridiplantae; Streptophyta; Magnoliopsida; Malpighiales; Euphorbiaceae. The record is from RNAcentral.
AGUACCCAAACGGAUGGAUGGAUGAAGAACACAUAGUUUUGGUUCAAUUCUGCAUUGGGUAUCUCACUCCAGCUGCUAACAGUCUCUGCUGCUCAAGCUGGAACAGUUCGUGCAUCUUGUUCUUGAGGUAGCAGUACUCGUGCUCCAGCAGCUCCAAAGCUCUCAAGCAUCCAGCUCGAUUGUUCUGCUCAGAAGCGGCGCGAAAGGCAACACACACAUUUCUGACUCUUUUGGCGCCAAUACUAGAGCUACUUCCUAUAAACUGAUUUAAAUGGAUUCCCAUUUUCUUGUAGUCCGAGCACUCUCUAUCCAUCAGUAAUCCUCUGAGAUUCCUCAGGAGCUUCUCCGAUUCAUGGAAGUAGAUAUUCACAACUUCUGAUACAAAGUUCGGGGAGCUUUCAUCUUGAAGCUGCUGCAGCUGCAAGAACUGCUCAUCCAGCACUCCCUGGUGAAAGAGUAGUGCAAGUAAACGGUUCAUAUCGGCCCGCAACCGAUCCGCACCCAACCCAAGCAUCCACACAGGUAGACCCGUUUUGGCUAAUUAUGCAAUUGAUCAAGAAGUUAAAAGUUUUUCACCAAGGUUUGGGUGUCAGCUUCUCGAGGGUUUAG